UAAAGAAAGCGUAAUAGCUCACUGGUCGAGUCGGCCUGCGCGGAAGAUGUAACGGGGCUAAACCAUGCACCGAAGCUGCGGCAGCGACACUGUGUGUUGUUGGGUAGGGGAGCGUUCUGUAAGCCUGUGAAGGUGGCCUGUGAGGGUUGCUGGAGGUAUCAGAAGUGCGAAUGCUGACAUAAGUAACGAUAAAGCGGGUGAAAAGCCGGCUCGCCGGAAGACCAA
Molecule: ribosomal RNA, 225 nt
Filed under: Salmonella enterica subsp. enterica serovar Lubbock
Lineage: Bacteria; Pseudomonadati; Pseudomonadota; Gammaproteobacteria; Enterobacterales; Enterobacteriaceae
Description: partial 23S ribosomal RNA
Rfam family: Bacterial large subunit ribosomal RNA
Source: RNAcentral